This is a long non-coding RNA of Oncorhynchus gorbuscha (pink salmon), 1328 nucleotides long. RefSeq lists it as uncharacterized. The transcript has 5 exons. NCBI's taxonomy places the organism in Eukaryota, Metazoa, Chordata, Actinopteri, Salmoniformes, Salmonidae. The record is from RefSeq and is a predicted model, not a curated record.
GACGAAUAUAAAACGAGGGCCAGCCGACGAGAGCAUACAUGUCGCAGUGAUAGAGCUGUGAAAGCCUUUCUAUAGAUGAAGAGGUCCCAAUGAAGAGCAGUGGCUCUCAGUCCUGGUCCUGGGGACUCAAAUUACCGUGUAGGGCACUGCAAGGUUGGGUGACCAGGGCCAUCUGGGACUGCCUCCUGGAGGAAUUCAGGCAUGUGAAGGCUACCUGUGUCCUUCAUAUCUUGAUGAUGGAGACGAGGACCAGGAGGGGAUCUGUAGCUCCCGGCGUGUGCCAGAGGAGAAGUCUAGUGCUCUGUAGGAUGUUUCAACGAUGGGGUCCAACAACGCAGUAAGACGCAAUCUGAGUGUGGGAGAUCUUCACCUCCUACUUCUUUGAAGAGGGUUCUGUUCCCUAGCAACACCAUAGACUACACUAUGCACGACCAAAGGCUCUUUUAAAGAGUCAUUCACAUUACAAUAAGAGUAUUCUUCCAUUUACUUAGCUAUAUCAACUGCAGUUAUUCAAUUGUUUCUCUCCCUUUGACUUCUACUUCUCAGGCGAGGGUGCUGUUUAGGUAAGGGUGUAAUGUCUGUACAAAAACAAAUCUAUUUUAAGCCACCCAUAUUGAAAAAAUGUAGAACAAUUAGACACCCUGUAACCCACGCCGACAAACUCAUGCAUCAAUCUGAUUGAUGGAUUGUGUUGUGCAGUAAGCAGGUUCAGGUGUAUAACUGUGGCUCCUUACACCUUCAAAGAAUAAGCAAGAGGGCCAACCAUGGAGAAUAGUAAGACACUUCAUCAUUUCUAUAACUACGCUAUAUUGUUUGUCCUUGUGUGUCUGUUCAUGUUUUUCAGCAUAGAGUACUCUGCAGCCACUUAGUGUGGACACCAGGUUAUAUCAGCUGUGUUGGUGAACCCCUCCCGCAUCUGAACUGGCUACAUAGAGGGCACAGCAUGAUCAGAGGUAUGUUUUGAUGUGAGAGAGGAUGCCAACCCCCAGUCCCAUCAUCGGCACCUCACCCCCUCUUAAUAAGAUAACCUUCGGGCCGACUGGGGGCCCAAGGCUGAUAAGGAGACACCUCUACAGACACUAUGUAAUUGUGAUGAACUGAGAGAAUAUUAGGGUAGCACUGAUUCAUUAAUCAUAUGCUGUCUUCCCUGCUUCUGUGUUCUUCCCUUUGUCUUUUACACCUCUAGCCACCUCUUUCUUCCUCUGUUUUUAUAAUGUACAACAGAUGUGCAUUGAAGUAAAGAUUGAACUUGUAUUUAUAAUUUAAUAUACAAUUACAAUUAUAAUAUUUAUAAUGCAUGUAUUUAUAACACUUGGAUAAUGAACUUC